GCGCGAAGGAGGCCAGGACAAAGCGGGAGGCCGGCGACCAGCAGCACCUCUGUCUUCUUCGCUACCGAUUCCUCCCCAGGUACAACCCUAAGCUGUUCGAUCUGCUUGGGCAGUGGAUUGGCUGAUUGUGUGCAUGCUGAUCUGAGGUGAUGUUCGUGUGCGAUUUGUGUGUAUGCGAUGGCUCGCGUUUAUACCUUGUAUGACAUGCUUCUUUCUGGUUAGUUAGCUGCAGUUCGGAG
This 239-nucleotide long non-coding RNA is filed under the name Hordeum vulgare. RNAcentral's name for it is "long non-coding RNA (HVUL_LNC007399)". Lineage: Eukaryota; Viridiplantae; Streptophyta; Magnoliopsida; Poales; Poaceae. The record is from RNAcentral.